AGAUUGAACGCUAGCGGGAUGCUUACACAUGCAAGUCGAACGGCAGCGCGGACUUCGGUCUGGCGGCGAGUGGCGAACGGGUGAGUAAUAUAUCGGAACGUGCCCAGUCGUGGGGGAUAACGCAGCGAAGGCUGUGCUAAUACCGCAUACGAUCUAUGGAUGAAAGCGGGGGAUCGCAAGACCUCGCGCGACUGGAGCGGCCGAUAUCAGAUUAGCUAGUUGGUGGGGUAAAAGCCUACCAAGGCGACGAUCUGUAGCUGGUCUGAGAGGACGACCAGCCACACUGGAACUGAGACACGGUCCAGACUCCUACGGGAGGCAGCAGUGGGGAAUUUUGGACAAUGGGCGCAAGCCUGAUCCAGCAAUGCCGCGUGCAGGAUGAAGGCCUUCGGUUGUAAACUGCUUCUGUACGGAACGAAACGGUCUCUCUAAUACAGGGCUAAUGACGGUACCGUAAGAAUAAGCACCGGCUAACUACGUGCCACG
This 486-nucleotide ribosomal RNA is filed under the name uncultured soil bacterium. RNAcentral describes it as "bacterial SSU rRNA". It matches the Rfam family "Bacterial small subunit ribosomal RNA", at positions 26 to 512 of the family's 1533-position model. The record is from RNAcentral.